Molecule: long non-coding RNA, 659 nt
Organism: Camellia sinensis
Lineage: Eukaryota; Viridiplantae; Streptophyta; Magnoliopsida; Ericales; Theaceae
Source: RefSeq, a predicted model, not a curated record
UUUCACAUAGACGCAAUAGUGGGUAAACAAACAGUCACUCUUUCACUAUCUCUUUCUUUCUCCUCUCUUCUUUCCUUGUCUUCAACUUCUCACAGCCUCAGGGUUUCUCAUUCAUCACUACUCUCAUCCAUGACGAUCUGUCGCACUCUUCAUCGUUACAUCUGAAGCACGGACGCAGGCGAUCUAUCGCACUCAUUCGUCUUCACUCUCAUUGCAAUGAUCUUCUUGUUGCAGUGGCAAUUUCGAAUCCAAAUUAAGGUCACGCGCCAUAGACUGUUUGAUCCGUCUGUUCAGACUAUUCUGUUACUGGAGCUAUCUGUGAGUAAUAACUCUGUAAAGGUGAUCAGGCGUGUGACCAAGCUCAGUGAUGAUUGCCUGGAGAUCUGUUUUGUCAACCAACCAUUUCGCCUCCCGAGGAGGUUCCCAAGUUAAGGUGUGGUCAUGUUUUUGCAAAGAAGUUUCUAAGUUUUUGUCUUCUUCUAUUUGUCUAAACAAUUUUUGCACACUCUGUAUUUAGGGCUAAGUCCCUUUGACUGUAUCUGUAUUAGUGACGUAAGACUAACAUGAAUAUGACGUCAUAUAUAUGUUUAUAAGUUUUAAGUUUUUUGUCCCAUGUAUGUCUAUACAACUUAAUGGACAUUAUAUUCUGAUAUUUGUUU